This 231-nucleotide unclassified non-coding RNA is filed under the name Hevea brasiliensis (rubber tree). The record is from RNAcentral. Lineage: Eukaryota; Viridiplantae; Streptophyta; Magnoliopsida; Malpighiales; Euphorbiaceae.
CCCGCUUAAAAAAACAAUUACAGAAAAUGCAUGCAAUUACUGAGCAUAGGGGGAGUGAAUUUUAGACUCAUCUUCACAUUCCAAUAAAGCUUCAACUACUGAAUCCAUGGUUGGUCUCUGAUCUCUGUCUUCUUCCACGCAACAUAUCGCAACUUCUACUAUUUUCAUUACCUGUCUUCUGCUAUAUUCCCCAUUUAACCUUUGAUCCACUAUUUCCUCUAUCCAUGACUC